RNAcentral lists this long non-coding RNA (1174 nucleotides) under Monomorium pharaonis (pharaoh ant). RNAcentral describes it as "uncharacterized LOC118644698, transcript variant X3". Lineage: Eukaryota; Metazoa; Arthropoda; Insecta; Hymenoptera; Formicidae. The record is from RNAcentral.
AGCGAGUCAGUUUUCAGUUUUAUUCAUAAUUUGCAUAUUUUACAUCGUGAAGGGAAAUACGGCUGUGCUUAAUUUAAAGUUUAGUCUAACACUAUGGAUUGUAUAAUCAGAUAAGUCUCACAAAAUUUUUAUUUUUUUGUAUGGAGUAAGUAUUCUGAGAUAAGAUGAAUACUUUGUGUUAUGUUUUAUUUUUAGUUAUAUUAAAAGCAAGAGAGGAAGAAACACUAUUUGAGCGUAAAGUAGAAGAGUAGACGAGUAAGGAAAGAAAGAUGUAAAAGAGAGAUCAACCUCACAGCUUGGAAUUUACAGUGUGCCGAACAGAAUAUGUGGACCUUGAAGCUCAGCGAACCAUUAUAUGUAUAGAGAAUUGACAGAGCAAUUCAUAUCAAAAGGAUUAUCUAAAGGUGUACGUCCUAGUUCUUCAAGUAUGUUAUUUUAUGGCAUUAUCUUAUGGCAGGCUAGAUUACUAAAAUAAAUAAAAAACGUGAAAUCUGAUCUGAAACAAUUACAACAAAGUAUACAGACUAAUAUCACUCAACUAACCUGCCAAUGAUGUGGUCGCAGGCUGUAAUAUAGGAAAUAUGUUUAUGAAUGUCAAAGAUCAUCUGUAGGUCUUAGUCAUUUAGUAACUGUCAUGCAUUUUGUGUCAGCCAGAUAUACGCCUCAGAAAUAUACUGAUAAAGCUCUUAGUUACAUUAAAAACUAAAAAGUAAGUAUUUAAAUACUCUGUUCCCAAAAUAAUUUAUUCUAAUUAAUACAAUUCUCUUCAUACAUUCACAAUAAUAACAUUCAGAAUUUUUAUUUAUAUUUUUGAUUCUCUAACUUAAUUGUUUGUAAAUUGAGGCAUAUAUAAGACGAAAGACUACAAAAUAGGCAUAUAUGAGACGAAAGACAAAAUAAGAUAUUUUUAUUUAUAGAAUAAUUUAAGAAUGACCAGUGGAUGUGCGUAUGAUUAUCUGGAAAUGUGCACAAAAGUGGAACUUGAGAAGGAACAUUUGAUUAUUCCCAUCUCUAAUUUGCUGGGUUUUAUUCUAAAAACAUAUAAUGGCUAUAAUUUAUUCUUACCUGUUCUAAUCCUUGUGAAAAUUUCUUCAGCUUUUAUAAAUUUCAGUUAUUCUUUACGUUCUUUUAAAUUUUAAGAAGAACAGUUGUCCGAAUGAUGUAAGAAUAAUUG